CAAGUUAGCCAGAUGACCGCAACAUUAGUUGAGGAAAGUCCGAGCAUCGCAAGGCAAAGGCGGCGGGUAACACCCGCUGAAGGCGACUUUAAGGAAAGUGCAACAGAAAGAUACCGCAAUAAGUAAUUAUUGUAAGGAUGGAAAGGUGCGGUAAGAGCGCACCAGCAUUUCGGCGACGAAAUUGGCUAUGUAAACCCCGCCUGAUGCAAGAGAUAAGGUCAUAAAGGCUUGCCUUGGCCGACCUUAGAAGUUUCGCUUGAGCAUUUCGGUAACGAUAUGCCUAGACAGAUGGUCAUCAAAUACAGAACUCGGCUUAUAGACUAACUUGUUUU
RNAcentral lists this RNase P RNA (332 nucleotides) under Clostridiales bacterium. RNAcentral describes it as "RNase P RNA component class A". It matches the Rfam family "Bacterial RNase P class A". From Rfam's summary of the family: Ribonuclease P (RNase P) is a ubiquitous endoribonuclease, found in archaea, bacteria and eukarya as well as chloroplasts and mitochondria. Its best characterised activity is the generation of mature 5'-ends of tRNAs by cleaving the 5'-leader elements of precursor-tRNAs. The record is from RNAcentral. Lineage: Bacteria; Bacillati; Bacillota; Clostridia; Eubacteriales.